RNAcentral lists this non-coding RNA (97 nucleotides) under unclassified sequences. Its description in RNAcentral is "malK-III RNA". It matches the Rfam family "malK-III RNA". The record is from RNAcentral.
CAAACCAGCACCUCGUAUGGGGCUCGUCCGAGUCCGUCCUAUGACGGCCGGAUACAUGAGCCCGCGAUGACCUGGACGGGACUGGAGGUUCUUCAUG